GCUCAGAUUGAACGCUGGCGGCAGGCCUAACACAUGCAAGUCGAACGGUAGCACAGAGGAGCUUGCUCCUUGGGUGACGAGUGGCGGACGGGUGAGUAAUGUCUGGGAAACUGCCUGAUGGAGGGGGAUAACUACUGGAAACGGUAGCUAAUACCGCAUAACGUCGCAAGACCAAAGAGGGGGACCUUCGGGCCUCUUGCCAUCAGAUGUGCCCAGAUGGGAUUAGCUAGUAGGUGGGGUAAUGGCUCACCUAGGCGACGAUCCCUAGCUGGUCUGAGAGGAUGACCAGCCACACUGGAACUGAGACACGGUCCAGACUCCUACGGGAGGCAGCAGUGGGGAAUAUUGCACAAUGGGCGCAAGCCUGAUGCAGCCAUGCCGCGUGUAUGAAGAAGGCCUUCGGGUUGUAAAGUACUUUCAGCGGGGAGGAAGGCGAUACGGUUAAUAACCGUGUCGAUUGACGUUACCCGCAGAAGAAGCACCGGCUAACUCCGUGCCAGCAGCCGCGGUAAUACGGAGGGUGCAAGCGUUAAUCGGAAUUACUGGGCGUAAAGCGCACGCAGGCGGUCUGUCAAGUCGGAUGUGAAAUCCCCGGGCUCAACCUGGGAACUGCAUUCGAAACUGACAGGCUAGAGUCUUGUAGAGGGGGGUAGAAUUCCAGGUGUAGCGGUGAAAUGCGUAGAGAUCUGGAGGAAUACCGGUGGCGAAGGCGGCCCCCUGACAA
Molecule: ribosomal RNA, 724 nt
Filed under: Pseudescherichia vulneris (CDC Enteric Group 1)
Lineage: Bacteria; Pseudomonadati; Pseudomonadota; Gammaproteobacteria; Enterobacterales; Enterobacteriaceae
Description: bacterial SSU rRNA
Rfam family: Bacterial small subunit ribosomal RNA
Source: RNAcentral